This 579-nucleotide ribosomal RNA is filed under the name uncultured bacterium. RNAcentral describes it as "bacterial SSU rRNA". It matches the Rfam family "Bacterial small subunit ribosomal RNA", at positions 346 to 916 of the family's 1533-position model. The record is from RNAcentral.
AGGCAGCAGUGGGGAAUAUUGGACAAUGGGCGCAAGCCUGAUCCAGCCAUGCCGCGUGUGUGAAGAAGGCCUUCGGGUUGUAAAGCACUUUUGUUCGGGAAGAAAAGCUACCGGUUAAUACCCGGGAGUCAUGACGGUACCGAAAGAAUAAGCACCGGCUAACUUCGUGCCAGCAGCCGCGGUAAUACGAAGGGUGCAAGCGUUACUCGGAAUUACUGGGCGUAAAGCGUGCGUAGGUGGUGAGUUAAGUCUGUCGUGAAAGCCCCGGGCUCAACCUGGGAAUGGCGAUGGAUACUGGCUCGCUAGAGUGCGGUAGAGGAGAGUGGAAUUCCCGGUGUAGCAGUGAAAUGCGUAGAGAUCGGGAGGAACAUCAGUUGCGAAGGCGGCUCUCUGGACCAACAUUGACACUGAGGCACGAAAGCGUGGGGAGCAAACAGGAUUAGAUACCCUGGUAGUCCACGCCCUAAACGAUGCGAACUGGACGUUGGGAGCAAUUAGGCUCUCAGUGUCGAAGCUAACGCGUUAAGUUCGCCGCCUGGGGAGUACGGUCGCAAGACUGAAACUCAAAAGAAUUGACGG